This 159-nucleotide ribosomal RNA is filed under the name uncultured bacterium. RNAcentral's name for it is "partial 16S ribosomal RNA". It matches the Rfam family "Bacterial small subunit ribosomal RNA", at positions 1342 to 1500 of the family's 1533-position model. The record is from RNAcentral.
UCGCAGAUCAGCAUGCUGCGGUGAAUACGUUCCCGGGCCUUGUACACACCGCCCGUCACACCAUGGGAGUCGGUAACACCCGAAGCCUGUAGUCUGACCUUUUGGAGGACGCAGUCGAAGGUGGGAUCGAUGACUGGGGUGAAGUCGUAACAAGGUAAC